Molecule: ribosomal RNA, 439 nt
Filed under: uncultured bacterium
Lineage: Bacteria
Description: partial 16S ribosomal RNA
Rfam family: Bacterial small subunit ribosomal RNA
Source: RNAcentral
CCUACGGGUGGCAGCAGUAGGGAAUAUUGCUCAAUGGGGGAAACCCUGAAGCAGCAACGCCGCGUGGAGGAUGAAGGUUUUAGGAUUGUAAACUCCUUUUGUUAGAGAAGAUUAUGACGGUAUCUAACGAAUAAGCACCGGCUAACUCCGUGCCAGCAGCCGCGGUAAUACGGGGGGUGCAAGCGUUACUCGGAAUCACUGGGCGUAAAGAGUGCGUAGGCGGGCUGUUAAGUCAGCGGUAAAAGCCCGGGGCUCAACCCCGGCGAGCCGUUGAAACUGGCUGUCUUGAGAUGUCGAGAGGUAUGCGGAAUGCGCAGUGUAGCGGUGAAAUGCUUAGAUAUUGCGCAGAACUCCGAUUGCGAAGGCAGCAUACCGGCGGCGAUCUGACGCUGAGGCACGAAAGCGUGGGUAUCGAACAGGAUUAGAUACCCGGGUAGUC